This is a small nuclear RNA of Camelus dromedarius (Arabian camel), 164 nucleotides long. Its record names the gene U1. It matches the Rfam family "U1 spliceosomal RNA". From Rfam's summary of the family: U1 is a small nuclear RNA (snRNA) component of the spliceosome (involved in pre-mRNA splicing). Its 5' end forms complementary base pairs with the 5' splice junction, thus defining the 5' donor site of an intron. There are significant differences in sequence and secondary structure between metazoan and yeast U1 snRNAs, the latter being much longer (568 nucleotides as compared to 164 nucleotides in human). The record is from Ensembl. Lineage: Eukaryota; Metazoa; Chordata; Mammalia; Artiodactyla; Camelidae.
AUACUUAUCUGGCAGGGGAGAUACCAUGAUGACGAAGGUGGUUUUCCCAGGGCGAGUUUUAUCCACUGCACUCUGGAUGAGCUGACUCCUGCAAUUUCCCCAAAUGUGGGAAACUUGACUGCAUAAUUUGUGGUAGUGGGGGACUGCAUUCAAGCUUUCCCCUG